Molecule: long non-coding RNA, 297 nt
Organism: Carassius carassius (crucian carp)
Lineage: Eukaryota; Metazoa; Chordata; Actinopteri; Cypriniformes; Cyprinidae
Exons: 4
Source: RefSeq, a predicted model, not a curated record
AAACCAUAUGAAACCUACAAUGAACCCGCCAGACACCAAAUGUGUGUUGAUCCGGGCAAUAUUUGUGGCUGCAUUUUGUACUUUAUGUGUAGUAACAUGCCCAAAGGACCAUUUCCAAGUCCAAGAAUCGCUGUGCUGCUUGAACUGCGAAGAAGGUAUGUAUGUUGUCCAGAACUGCUCUAGAGGACCUACAGAGUACACUGGUGCUGUAUGUCAGCCAUGCCGCAUAUGUGAAGAACUUGGAGAGAUAACUGUUUCCCAGUGCAUGCAGUUUUCAGACACACGGUGUGCCAGUAA